This 68-nucleotide transfer RNA is filed under the name Staphylinidae sp. BMNH 1274696. RNAcentral's name for it is "tRNA-Pro". The record is from RNAcentral. Lineage: Eukaryota; Metazoa; Arthropoda; Insecta; Coleoptera; Staphylinidae.
CAGAGAAUAAUUUAAUUAAAAUAUUAAUUUUGGAGAUUAAAAAUAGAAAGUAUACAUUCUUUCUCUGA